GCGGGUUGAAUAAUCAAGAAGAUCCCAAUUCAUUCAAAGCUCUAACUAUCACUGAGCAACACAUGCUUCAAUGACAAUCUGAACUUCGAAUUAAUUUGUAAAACGGAAAUUCUUUAGAAACUUGAAGAUUAGAAACAAUGGGUUAGAAUACUCGCACUUUCGAACAUUGAAAAGAAAGGUAUGAAUACUUGAAACAUAUACCAAAGGAAUGGAUCUGAAUAUUUGCAAUAUAUCCGAGAGAAAGGUUUAGGAUACUUGCAACACAUAUAGAAAAGAAUGGAUCAGAAUAUGCAAUAUAUCCAAAAGCAGGGUGUAGGAUACUUGCCUUAAAUCUGACUCCAGUCUCACAUCUCUAUCUCAUCUUUCAACUUUCACAAUCUAUGCAUCUCGUAAUCUCUAGACCAUCUCUAGCUAUACUCUAUUCGCCACUUCGCUUCGCUUACUCAAUCAUCCCUUAUUCGCUUUGCAAUACCAAUCCGACUUUCUGACGUCUUCCAGCGUACACGUCUCGUCCAAAUCCUUUAUGAGAAUAAGAUAAUACUAUAGUCACUAAACAAUAUAUCGCAUACACAUAUCACGUAUACCGAUACCCACUUAUAUACCCCUUUAAACCUAUCACAUAUCACUUAACACAUAAUCAUGCUUUGACUCUAAUAUAUAGUCAUAUCAUUCUCCACAUAGUAUGUCACAAUUCAAAACUCAUAUAAAUCAUAUCGAUAAUCUGACAGAGUCUCGUCUAUUUAUAAGACUAUCCACCUGUCAACCUAUUCUCAAUCAACAACCAAUCAACCAAUUUCAAUUCCUAUAAACCAUAUGUUCUUAUCCAAUAUCAGUCAAGUCAUGACACUAUGUCAUUCAAAUCAUUUAUCAUGUAUAUAAUAUCAAGAAUAAACAUAUAUAUCACGUAAUCAUCAAUUAAUAGCAAUCAAAUAACAUAUAAUCACAUUUUGCACAUUUAACAAAAAUUAUUCACAUUCUCGACUCCAUCAUAAUAUUAUGUCAUAUCAAACUAGACUUUAUAAGCUUCUGUCUCUCUUUCGUUUCACUUGAUUCCGACUUACGGAUCAAAAGUUAUGAUCAAAACUGUUUUCUAACUCCUCUGUCGGCACAUAACACAUCAAACAGAUAGCAGGCAACACACCACACAUAAGGUUUCCCAUCCCAAUUGAUAUUAAAUCAAGUCUUGGGUUAAAACUGAUUUUUCGGGAAUUUUCUGGAAUUUUUAAACAUUUUUCGGAAUUAAAAUCGAUAAAAGAAUCACUUUUCGGAUAAAUAAUCAAGUCCCAAAUACUUGAAAUUGGACUUGAAAUCAUUCAUAAACAAUAAUAGAGCCUUGAAAAUAAUUUAGAAAAAUAUUUCAAAGCUCGAAACUAUUUUUGGGAUUUUUAAAUCAAAAAGGAAUAAUUAAAUCCAAAUAAUUAAUCAAUUAAAAUCAAUUAAUAAUUAAUUAAAUUAAUUAAUCAAUUAAUAUUUAAAUUAAUUGACCAAUUAAAAUAAUUAAUUACUAAUUAAAAUUAAUUAAUAAACUAAUUUAGAUUUAUUUUUGAAUAAAGAAAUAAUUAAAAACUAUUUUUGAAAUUCAAAUAAUUAAAUAAAAACAAUUUUUGAAAAUUAAAAUCAAAAGGUUUAAAGUGUCAGAUUCAUAAACUUUUAACACAGGGUGAAAAGUGUAACUUUUGAGAAGUUUGAUGGACUGUUUGCGAAAAACGAAAGUGCAGUGCUUGCACUUCAUCAUCUUUACAAGUUGGGUGGCCAAACGGCAAUUUGCCGCCGGCCACCACUAACUUCGCCGGAUACGGCCACAGAGGCCACCACUGCCUCCCAGAAUCUCCAGAAUCACUCUAGAGGCCACCAGGAACCUAUUCGUGCCAUCACUUUAAGCAAACAAUCGGCCAUUUGGCCGUAAAUCCCGCCGAGAAAACUCGACGCCGCCAUGGCUGAGCUUCUCCGACGAACACGACCAGACCUCCUCCACUCGAUUUGAAGCUACCAAUCGAUUCUACACCUCAAAAUACACAUGCUAGUACCUUCCAAUCAUACCCCGAACUACCAGAUUACAAACCCCCAAUUUCCAAUUAAAAAUAUCCAAGAACACUCAAGAACAUUCAAGAACACAACUAAAUAAUCAAACCCACUUUUCUAGGUGUUAUGGAACUCAAAAAUCAACAUAUAAUAUACCAAAACGACGAGAAAAACACGUUCUACAACAUAGAAGCAUCAAAACAAUCAAACAACCAAGUUUGCAAAAAUUCACUAUUUAAAUCUUAAUAAUUCGAAUCUUAAAGCUUCAAUUACUCCCUACCUGUGAAUCUCAGGUUGUUUUUGAUGAUUGAUUAGAGUUCUACUCUUCGAUAUCUUCGAUUUGACUAUUCGCACGCUUGAUUCUGACUCCAAUAACGCCUUCAAAUCUUCGUUUGAUUAUGAAGAACACGAAGAACACCGCUCGGUUUCUCUCGGUAUUCGUGCAGAGAAACUGGUGAAAUGAUUUUACGGGUGAAAAUAAGCUCUAGAAAGGUCUAUUUAUAUUUACAAAUAAUUGGUACCCCUUUGGAUCGUUUAUGACAUGAAAAUACGUAUUUAAUAGCUUUAUAUUAAUAAAGCGGGGUCCAAUCGGUACUGGUUUUCGAGAUAAUCAUCAAAACGGGGCUUUUUAACUCAAUUAUUGGUCUGCGGGUCCCAUUGCAAUUAUUACAAGAUAAGGAUGAAUAUAAUAAUCAAAAUAUCUCGUUUCACGCUUAUCGAGACAAACUGGAUAAUUAUCCACAAUUAAAAUAUCCGAAAAACUCCGCCGGACCGACUCCGGGGAAAACCGUACUCCGGAUCGAAAAAGUCAAAACACGAAAAAUGUCCGGAAUAUUCAAAUUAGGCUAAAGGUGAGUUUUGUUGAAACUUCCGGGAAGAAAAUUUGCUACAUCGUUACGAGUGGACGGUUUUACGGAAGUCAAAUAAUUAAUCAAUAAAUAUAAAUAUACGCAAUUAAAUCCGUAAAUCGAUUAUAAAAUCAUCUAACAUUCCAUAAAUCGAUAUGAAAAUAUCCAAAUAAACUAUAUUUUCUCCUGAGCAUAUAGAAAUUGAAAUCUCUCAAAUACGAACACAUAUGAGCAGUUAACGCAAUAAACCAGAUAAUAUAAAAUUCACAAAAAUUCAUAUAUUAAUCAUAUAAUACUCAUAAUUAACCAUAAUUAAUUAACCAACAAAUCCACCAAUACCACUUACUCACAUCACACAUAUAUUCACAUAAUAAUCAUCUAGAAUUUUCGAAACAAUAUAUGAAAAUCAGUUUUAAAAAUAUAAUCAUUUAUCAAUAACACAAUAACCCGGGGUUUAAUAUAAAAUUUUGAAAACUCCUUAAACUGGAAUAAAAUAUUAAAUCUUAUUCCUUACUUUUUAAGAAAAUCAUUUAUAAUAUUAAUAAAAAUAUUUUUAAAAUCCGGGUUAUUACAAUCUACCCUCCUUAUAGGGAUUCCGUCCUCGGAAUCAGAGAAAGAAGGAGGACGCAUAAUCUGUAAAAUCCAUAUUAAUCCACAUAACAAGUAUAAUCACAUACAACUAUUCACAUAAUCAUAUCAAUAUUCAACUAGAGCCAACAAUAAUAUCUAGACAAAUAGAUUUAUAAUAAUCACAUCUAAAUUUAAUAAUAUGGGAUAUUACAUUCUACCCCCCUUAUAAGGAUUCCGUCCUCGGAAUCCUCCGAAGAAACUAAAACGUACACACUUCGUAAUAUCAUAUCGUCAUCCACCUUUGAUUGAUCUUGGCAUACCUUUAACUUUAAUGGAAAAGGAAAAUCAAACUUUCGCGAUUGCAAAAUUCAUUUCCCAAGAAUCGAUCUUUGGGAAUUUUCGAAUAGAACAAGGUGUUUUCAAAAUAGGUCACAUUGGAAUACAAGAGUGACUGGGAGAUCAAUACGAUCAAAUGAACUUAAUGUUGCGUGUCCAUAUUAGACACUACUAAAGGUUGUUAACCUUCUUGUAAUCACAACACACACAAGUGAUGGCGUCCCAUCCAACUCCUAUCACACAGACAGGUAUACCUUGUGUCCCCUAUAAAUAGGGUUGUUCAUCCCAAUCAAAUUGAAGAAAUGUUAAGGAAUAUCAGAGAAUAUCAAGGAAUGUCAACAAUAUCAAAGAACACUAAGGGAUAUCAAGGAAGAUGAAAGGGUAUCAAGGAAUGUCAAGAAAUGUCAAACAAUAUCAAGGAACAUCACUAUCUCUUCACAACAAACCUUUAUCACACAUCUUUGCUUUCCAACUCAUACCAAUAAUCAAUAUCAAUGUCAUCUUAGAAUUUGAGAAAUUGAAGAUCUCAUUUAUCAAAACUUUUGUAGAAAAGAUAUCAUGAUAAUAUCUCACUGAUGAGAAAACAAUCAAAAGAAUCUUUAGUUGAAGAGAGGUAUUGCCAAGGUCUUCUCAGAUUCCCACUCUACUUCAAUAAAUCAUUGUACGAUAUAUGUCUUCUUUUCAACGUUCUUGAUGAUCAAUCGAUUUGACUCGUAAUAGCCUCGUAAGAUGUCAUCGUAGACGUUAUCGUCCGUAAUAACUCUGGUCCAUGUAGUUUACAUUCUUCUACUUUAUCCCAGUUGCCUUUGAAAUCCAUAGCACAAACACGUAACGUAUCUUCGAUUGUCUGGAUCAUCAACCUGUGGGUUAUGGGCCCACCUUGAUGCCAUUUGAAAUCCCGAUUAGCUCGAAGCGUUGUCGUCGAGGACUAACGUUCUAACUUACUCGUAGACAUCAUCUCUAAUAACUGGACUCAAUUCCACGUACUCUCUAUCAUUCACUUCUCACCUAUCAACCUCUAUCUACCAAUCUCUCCUUCUAAUCCAAUACAACUCAUACUCUACACUUACUCUUCAUAUCUUCACUCAAAACAAUAUACAUCUUCCAAAUAUCUGACAUGGUCAACAUACUAUGAACCAUGCAUUUAUAUCAUCCUCAAAUCAAUACAAUAAUCCAAUUUCAAAUAUGCAGUAUAGUCAGAAUACUCUGAACUCUGCAUUUUCACCAUUCUCAACUCAAUCAUUCACUAUCAAACUCUUCUAUAUAGGUCUAAUACUGACCUUUUCCACAAUUCACCAUCUCAAUUAAUCAACAUACUAGAAAUCAUAUGUCUAAACUUAAGAAUCCUAAUCUCUUUAAAUAUCCACACUUAACUUGAUCAUCUAACUAAACUCUAUGCUUCACUCACAUCUCUAGACUAUUCCUAAAUAGUCCGACCAUACCUCUAUGUGAGGUUACACCACAUUCUUCUCUAGAAAACCUAUAACUAUGAUCUAUAUUCUAAUUUCAAAUACUUAUAACCUGUUGCUCUGAUACCAACUGUGACGGUCCGAGAAUCCGGGGGCCUGGAUUCUGACGUCACCACAUAAAACCCAUUUUUAAACACUUUUGAAAUCCUGUAUUUUUUUUUUUUUUAAAAGAUAAUGAAUCCAAAUAAUUUAAAACUUGAAAACAUUUAAUAAAAGAUUUGAAAGACGUUAAAUAAAAGAUUUAAAAGAGAACAUCUUCACCCCCAAAACAACAGGAUCGCUUCCAGGUUACAGUAUUGAAAUUAGAAUCAACCACUAUUAUUACACAACAUCUCUUACCAAAUCAGAUCAUCUUCGAUAAGAAGAAUCACUGUCAACUAUUCCAGCUAUGACUUACACUUGAAUCCUUAUAGCACAGCUCUAGCUUGCACCAACCUCAUCAACUUUCCUGAACACUCCUCGACCACUGGAUCCUCAACUCUGUCUCCUCGCCUAGCAUUAGCCUUAUUCACAAUCUCAAUCAAUCAUCUCAUCUUUAAGCCUUUCUGAAAUGGUUAGAAAGGAAUAGCAAGGGUGAGCAACAAUGCUCAGCAAGUAAUAAUAAACAAUGAUAGUUCUGAAAUGAUAUAAUAGAAGUUCACGAGUUCAAGAUAUAAGAGGAUUCAACCUGAGUUCAUGAGUUCAUGGUAUUGUAUAGAAUGAUUUACAAUACCUUGCAGCAUUUAAACUGAGAAAUUCAAUCUUUCCAAAGAAUUAUUGAAUUGGACUAUCACAUUUUAAUUAAAACCAAGGUUAGGCAGCUGAUCAGUUCCGCACUAACCCCGAGCAGGCCCCGCCAUGCUCUAUCACUGGAUCCAAGGCACUCAUUGGCCUAACAUGACCACGAAUCUGGUCCACAGGUUUAUAUAAAAACAAUAAUCCAAUUCUCUAAUUCAAUUCAAGAAGCCAAUGUAAAUUAACAGAACAUCAUCAUAAAUAUCAUCAACAACAGAAUAAUUCCAAUUCAAACUUUGAUAAUAAUCUAUUCAUAAAUCAUGAUCCAUCAUUUCAUAAAUCACAGUUCAGGAAAUCCUCAACUAUUCAGUAUCCUCCAUUAUCGGCUAAGCAACUGAAUUUAGCCUGCUAAACCAGCAUGACAAUGGCGGGUUGAAUAAUCAAGAAGAUCCCAAUUCAUUCAAAGCUCUAACUAUCACUGAGCAACACAUGCUUCAAUGACAAUCUGAACUUCGAAUUAAUUUGUAAAACGGAAAUUCUUUAGAAACUUGAAGAUUAGAAAGAAUGGGUCAGAAUACUCGCACUUUCGAACAUUGAAAAGAAAGGUAUGAAUACUUGAAACAUAUACCAAAGGAAUGGAUCAGAAUAUUUGCAAUAUAUCCAAGAGAAAGGUUUAGGAUACUUGCCUUAAAUCUGACUCCAGUCUCACAUCUCAAUCUCAUCUUUCCAC
Molecule: long non-coding RNA, 6689 nt
Filed under: Daucus carota (carrot)
Lineage: Eukaryota; Viridiplantae; Streptophyta; Magnoliopsida; Apiales; Apiaceae
Description: long non-coding RNA (DCAR_LNC002952)
Source: RNAcentral